GAUGAACGCUAGCUACAGGCUUAACACAUGCAAGUCGAGGGGAAACGGCAUUGAGUGCUUGCACUCUUUGGACGUCGACCGGCGCACGGGUGAGUAACGCGUAUCCAACCUUCCCAUUACUGUGGGAUAACCUGCCGAAAGGCAGACUAAUACCGCAUAGUCUUCGAUGACGGCAUCAGAUUUGAAGUAAAGAUUUAUCGGUAAUGGAUGGGGAUGCGUCUGAUUAGCUUGUUGGCGGGGUAACGGCCCACCAAGGCUACGAUCAGUAGGGGUUCUGAGAGGAAGGUCCCCCACAUUGGAACUGAGACACGGUCCAAACUCCUACGGGAGGCAGCAGUGAGGAAUAUUGGUCAAUGGACGGAAGUCUGAACCAGCCAAGUAGCGUGCAGGAUGACGGCCCUAUGGGUUGUAAACUGCUUUUGUAUGGGGAUAAAGUUAGGGACGUGUCCCUAUUUGCAGGUACCAUACGAAUAAGGACCGGCUAAUUCCGUGCCAGCAGCCGCGGUAAUACGGAAGGUCCAGGCGUUAUCCGGAUUUAUUGGGUUUAAAGGGAGCGUAGGCUGGAGAUUAAGUGUGUUGUGAAAUGUAGACGCUCAACGUCUGAAUUGCAGCGCAUACUGGUUUCCUUGAGUACGCACAACGUUGGCGGAAUUCGUCGUGUAGCGGUGAAAUGCUUAGAUAUGACGAAGAACUCCGAUUGCGANNNAGCUGACGGGAGCGCAACUGACGCUUAAGCUCGAAGGUGCGGGUAUCAANNGG
RNAcentral lists this ribosomal RNA (759 nucleotides) under Prevotella melaninogenica. RNAcentral describes it as "bacterial SSU rRNA". It matches the Rfam family "Bacterial small subunit ribosomal RNA", at positions 28 to 775 of the family's 1533-position model. The record is from RNAcentral. Lineage: Bacteria; Pseudomonadati; Bacteroidota; Bacteroidia; Bacteroidales; Prevotellaceae.